RNAcentral lists this ribosomal RNA (505 nucleotides) under uncultured fungus. Its description in RNAcentral is "eukaryotic LSU rRNA". The stretch from base 157 to 310 matches the Rfam family "5.8S ribosomal RNA". Lineage: Eukaryota; Fungi. The record is from RNAcentral.
UACAGAACGCCCGGGCUUCGGCCUGGUUAUUCAUAACCCUUUGUUGUCCGACUCUGUUGCCUCCGGGGCGACCCUGCCUUCGGGCGGGGGCUCCGGGUGGACACUUCAAACUCUUGCGUAACUUUGCAGUCUGAGUAAACUUAAUUAAUAAAUUAAAACUUUUAACAACGGAUCUCUUGGUUCUGGCAUCGAUGAAGAACGCAGCGAAAUGCGAUAAGUAAUGUGAAUUGCAGAAUUCAGUGAAUCAUCGAAUCUUUGAACGCACAUUGCGCCCCCUGGUAUUCCGGGGGGCAUGCCUGUUCGAGCGUCAUUUCACCACUCAAGCCUCGCUUGGUAUUGGGCAACGCGGUCCGCCGCGUGCCUCAAAUCGUCCGGCUGGGUCUUCUGUCCCCUAAGCGUUGUGGAAACUAUUCGCUAAAGGGUGUUCGGGAGGCUACGCCGUAAAACAACCCCAUUUCUAAGGUUGACCUCGGAUCAGGUAGGGAUACCCGCUGAACUUAAGCAU